UCAUUCUCUUUCGUUAAGACCCGAGAUUCUACUCAGGGACCACUCCUAAAUGCAAUUGAAAUAAGCAAAUAUGUGCAGAUUGCCGGGAAGACAGCCAUGCAAGAUGGUAAGGCUACUUAUUCUCCAGCUUGAACCAUUCUCUAGAUGAAAUUAUGUGGGUGAAUAAAUUUUCUUUACCUAUAUGAGCUAGUCACUCUUCAUUUCCAAAUGACAGUGAAUAUUCUCAAUGCUCUUCAAGCCAAGUCUACGGACAGUAAUUGGCUGAACGAAGAUGGUGAUCCUUGUGUUCCCACUCCGUGGGAAUGGGUGAGUUGCAGCUCUAACAUACCACCAAGAAUCACAAAAAUGUAAGUUCCUUGCACUUUCUCAAUGAAAACUUCUUUGUCCUGUAAGAUUUAUUUUACUAGCACGCACAUACAAAUUAAAAAACAAAGCAUUCGUCAGUUUGAAUGGCAGAACAAAAUCUACAAUUCGUGCCACUAUAUCAUAAUUCAUCCACUCGUUCAGUGAGUUUUAUUACUAUCACACAGUUUCCCAAAAUCUAAACUCAACCUUAAACUAUAACACAUAAAAAUGCCUACAUCAAAAAGAAUGAUUUAUGCUAGAAAAUAUAGGAACAUUUGACAUUUCUGUUAGAAUAUCAAAUGCCAGAUCCAUUAGAUUAGGAGGUCCACAUUUCAGCAGUUUUUCAGCAUACCACUGGGACAGAAGCAUGUCAUUACCUAAAAUAUGCAUAAGAAAUUUUAGCGUAAGUGUGCGUAAGAUGGAAAUCACACUCUAAUUGAUAUUUACAGUUCUUUAUAAAUUUUUAUGUGCUUGAGGUAUAUUCCCAGUUUUACUAACAAUUUUGAACAGUGCACUGUCAGGAAAAAAAGUUCAAGGUGAUAUCCCAGCUGAGCUUAAUAACAUGGAUGGAUUGAUUGAGUUGUAAGUGCAGUUGAGCAAUGAAAAUAAUAAUAAUUUACUUCGUUAACUCCGACCAGAACCUGACUGCUGCUUUUAUUUUAGGUGGUUGGAUGGCAACUCUUUUGAGGGGCCAAUCCCUGAUAUUAGUAACCUCGUCAAUUUGAAAAUUCUGUAAGUUCUUCACUCAUAUUAGUUUCGUUUCACUAGUUUACACCGAGAGAAUUCAGAGUUUUUGGUGACUGGUUGGUAUUUUUGGUGAAUAUGCAGGAAUCUAGAGAAUAACAAACUAACUGGUCCAUUACCAUCUUCCCUGGGUAGUUUGCCAAGCUUAAAAGAAUUGUAUGUAGGGAUCUGAACAUCUCCACUUCUAGAUGAUUGAUUUUGAUUAGAUACUUUCUAUAUUCUAACUUAGGACUUGUUAUUCAAAAUAAGGCCUUUCCUGAGCUAGAUAUUUAACUGUGAAGUAAUUUUAUUUUAUUAUCUGCAGGUAUGUACGCAACAACUCUUUGAGUGGGGAAAUCCCCCUAGAAUUGUUAACAGGAAAAGUGAUUUUUAAGUGAGUAUUAUUCACGACAGAAAUGUGUACAUGCUUAUUAUCCAUGACUAAACUAGUUUCUUUCUUCAAUGAGAAAAAGAAAAAAUAAACUUAGCUAUGUGUUAUUAUUUCAGAAAAGAUAUGAUAUCAAUAAGACUAAACAUAUGUUGAAAUAGACAUUUUGCAAAUCAUUCUAAGCUCCAUCCUUAAUCCCAUGCCCAGUAUUUCAAUCGUAUAGAGUGUCUUAUGUACAUAAAGGAACAAACACACUAAUAAGAAUGGAAAUAGCUUGCAAAUCUGAUUUGAGAAAAAAAUGUAAUUUGUGAUAUCUAAGUAUGUAACACAUUGUACCAGGUAAAAUAAACAAUAUGUGCAUAUAUUUCUUCAGAUGCAAUGCCUACACAUAACAGAAAAAGGGAACAGUUUGGCGGGAAAACUAAAGCCAUACAAACAAUCAUAACACCAAGAGUAUGAUAAGACAGAGACAGAAAGAGUAUUCAAACAGUCUAGUUAUCAAAAGUAGUAAUAUUCUCUCUUGCAGCUAUGAAGGUAAUCCUGGUCUAAGGCUUGGGACUAAGCAUAAGGGACAUCAAAGAUUAAUUGUUGGAAUUUCCGUUGGAGUACUAGCAAUUCUUCUUGUUCUGUUCAUAGGAAGUUUGCUUCUACUGUGUUACCUUCGGAAAAAGACAUCUUACCAGAGGAGUGAUGACAAAGGUAUGCACUCCAAAUUUCCAUUUUUUUUGGAAUAUUCAAUAAUUCUUUUUUGUCCAUCAGGUGAUUCAUUGCGCACUAGCACUAAACGGUCGUCUGCUUAUUCAAUAGCACGAGGUGGGAAUCUAAUGGAUGAAGGAGUUGCAUACCAUAUAACGUUCUCUGAGAUAGAAGAAGCUACCAAAUGCUUUUCAAAGCAAAUUGGUAAAGGAAGUUUUGGACCUGUGUAUUAUGGCAAAUUGAAAGAUGGAAAAGAGGUGGCAGUUAAAAUCAUGGCUGAUUCAUCUAGCCAUGGGACCCGACAAUUUGUUACUGAGGUAGCAUAGCUGUGUACAUGCAUGGUUUAUAUAGACUACUGCAUUCUAUUUAAUUGCAUUGAAGUUAGUUUGAAUGUGAAUAUUUUUAAAAUAUACAGUUUCAUUGAAAAUUUAGAUGAAAUCCAUCAACUGCACUUAAACACCUACUACAACUCUAAAGCAUAUAAUUGCUAUCAUAAGUUUCAAUCAUUAAAUAGAAAAGUGUACUUGCAGGUCGCUCUCUUGUCAAGAAUUCAUCACAGAAACUUGGUUCCACUAAUUGGCUAUUGUGAAGAAGAAAACCAAAGUAUGCUCGUUUAUGAAUACAUGCACAACGGAACUUUGCGGGAUCACAUACAUGGUAUUCAUCUAUAAACCUACCAUAAUUCUGUCUAGUCAUUAGCACGGAGUCAGAGAAAAAUUAAUGACAUAAAAUUUGAUGACAGAUUAUUGCAAUCAGAAGCACUUGGACUGGCUAGCUCGUCUUUAUAUUGCAGAAGAUGCAGCUAAAGGUUUAUACCUGAUUUCCCUGUUGUUCAUGUAGCUAUAAAUUUUUAGAUCAAGAGAGUAGCUGAAACUUGAUCUUUUUAGGCCUCGAAUACUUGCACUCUGGAUGCAACCCAAGUAUCAUUCAUCGCGAUGUAAAAACAAGCAAUAUUCUCCUAGAUAUCAAUAUGAGGGCAAAAGUAUCUGAUUUUGGACUUUCAAGGCAAACUGAAGAAGAUCUAACCCAUAUAUCAAGUGUGGCUCGAGGAACUGUUGGCUACCUUGAUCCUGGGUAAGCCAUAUCAUGUAAUCUCAUACACUCAUCUGUUCCCUUAUGCCUAGCUUGACUGAGUAUAUCUCUACAACAGGUACUAUGCAAAUCAGCAAUUAACUGAAAAAAGUGAUAUUUAUAGUUUUGGGGUCGUUCUUUUAGAACUGGUCUCAGGAAGAAAGCCUGUGUCAACAGAAGAUUAUGGCACUGAAUGGAAUAUUGUUCACUGGGUAAGCAUGCUACCAUUUCUUUAUUCAUAAUUUUCAACAUUUGGCAACUUUUCCUAAAGCUAAAAUAAAUCCCGAUAGCCAAAAAAAAUAUAUGAGAGAUGCACAAGUCUAUUAAAGACCAUGCCAGACAAUAUAGAAAAACGUCUAGAAGGUAAGAUGUAUACAGCUUAGGCAAGAAUUAUAGGAUAGGGGUUUGUUUAAAUUAGAAAAAAAAAUGAUCCUACAAGAUGGUAUAUUCAAGCUCUAAGAGGUAGCUUAUAUGAUAAACAACAUCACAAUAUGUAUUCAUGGGAGACUAUUGGUUAUAUUAUCCUUGCUCUACUAGGCACUAGGUAUACUAUAUAGUUAAGGUGUAAUGUAGGUGAGUGGGUGAUUGCUUGUGUCUCUGUCUGGACACAGAAAGUGAAUGGCAAUGCCAAACUAAGAUAGUAUAGUGCAACUGCAACAGGCAGACUACAACACUAAAAUAAUUGAAAAUGUAAAACUUAUCUAGUAAACCAUAUGCCUGCUAGAAUGUUUUUUAUAUUGGUUCUCAGAAUGACUAAUUCCAUGAAAUAUGAAUUUACACCAAAAUCCAAAACAUUAAUAUUUACUGUACCUACACAAAACAUUAAUAGUAAAAAUAAUAAUAAUUAAUAAUUCCACUGAGAUCGGAGGGGGUACAUAUUCUUCUAAAAUGAUUAAUGUGCUUCAAUACUAGCUUAAACAGUAAGAAAAUUACAAAACAAAAUAUUAUAAAUCAAAUAUGAUAGCCAUGAAUAAUUUUUUCAUACUCUUUGAGUUACAUGCUGAUAUAUCAUCAUUUUAUAAUUUGCAGGCAAGGUCAUUGAUUCGUAAAGGAGAUGUGAUAAGCAUAAUAGAUCCUUCACUAGCAGAAAAGGUCAAAAUUGAAUCUGUAUGGAGGAUUGCAGAAGUCGCAAUCCAAUGUGUCGAACAACACGGAGCUUCGAGACCUAGGAUGCAGGAAAUUAUUUUGGCUAUACAGGAUGCAAUCAAGAUUGAAAAAGGGUGUGAUAAAAUAACUUCAAGAAGCGCAAAAUCACAAUCUUCCCGCAGAACACUACUAACGAGCUUUCUUGAUAUUGAAAGCCCCGACUUAUCUAAUCCAUCGCUAGUCCCAUCCGCUAGAUAACCAUCUAGUUCACCUCAUUUUACACUUUUUUAGUAAGAUCAUAACUAGUAUACAUUGUUGUCUAUUUCUUUUUCUUCUUCUUCAAUUUCUUUUUGUGAGAGUUGUUACACUUCUAGCUGAAAUUCCUGUACCACAUCAUUAAACUUCGGGCUUGUUCGUGGCUUUAGCUUAUUUCGUACAUUUGGAAUGCACCAUUUUAGACCCCAAACAAUGCGUUUCUAAGUUAAAUAAGCUGCAUUUGGAAAUUGUGUUUGUAAACUGAACAAGAUUUUCAGGUGCUCUUGGCGUCCAAAACCCAAACCAAAUAUGCACUUAAACCAAAUUUGACUUCCAAUUAAGUUAAAUCUUUUCAUGUGUAUACUUGUAUUUAUUGAGGACAUAUUAAAUUUUGGAAUUUGACAGAUAUUUUGUAAGGAAUAGGUAGGGAUAUAAAAGUCAAUAUAGGAUUAGUGGGGGCAUUAUGGUAAUAGUGGUAUUCUAAGUAGAUAUAUAGCUGAGUUGUAAUUCUAUUGGCAUCAUGGAAUGAUAACGUGAUAUUUCUUUUCUCUCUCAACAGUUCUCUUCUGUCUUCUUCUUCACUCUAACUGCUCUCUCUCUCUCUCUCUCUCAACUCAAUUUUCUGUUCCUUAUUCCCUAAAUUUCCUUGAUAAUUUCAGUCUGCUUCUCCAAUUCAUUACAUAUUUCAAACAAAAAUUGACAAAUGAAGCUUCAUGGUUAAAAUUAAAAGGCAGAAAAUUUGCAUACUGGUGCAAAUUAUGUAGGCGUAUAUAUAUAUAUAUAUAUAUAUAUAUAUAUAUAUAUAUAUAUAUAUAUAUAUAUAUAUAUAUAUAUAUAUAUNNNNNNNNNNNNNNNNNNNNNNNNNNNNNNNNNNNNNNNNNNNNNNNNNNNNNNNNNNNNNNNNNNNNNNNNNNNNNNNNNNNNNNNNNNNNNNNNNNNNAUAUAUAUGGGUAAGUACUAUGUCAAACUUGAAUAUUAUUAUGAACGGUGUUAGAUGUGGUUGCUAUAUAUGUGUAUAUAUAUGGGAGCUGAUCCUAUAAAAGGAAAUGUGCUAUGAAGAUCGAGUAACAAAGCUUACAGAUGAGGAAUAGGAGGAAUUCACCUUUGCCGGCACAAAUCUGACGCCCUUUCCUUUCUUUCGCCGGAGACUGGAUUACUUGCCUUCG
Molecule: long non-coding RNA, 5730 nt
Filed under: Panax ginseng (ginseng)
Lineage: Eukaryota; Viridiplantae; Streptophyta; Magnoliopsida; Apiales; Araliaceae
Description: long non-coding RNA (PGIN_LNC018846)
Source: RNAcentral